Molecule: ribosomal RNA, 1554 nt
Filed under: metagenome
Description: bacterial SSU rRNA
Rfam family: Bacterial small subunit ribosomal RNA
Source: RNAcentral
AGAGUUUGAUUCUGGCUCAGAACGAACGCUGGCAGCGUGGAUUAGGCAUGCAAGUCGAACGAGAAUUCAUGGAUUCAAGUCUUCGGACAAGAAUUUGUGGAGGAGAGUGGCGGAAGGGUGAGGAAUACGUGGGUAAUUUACCUUUAAGUUGAGGAUAACUUUGCGAAAGCGGAGCUAAUCCUGAAUGUGAUCGUUCCGGGCAUCCGGAAUUGUUUAAAGGUAGGGAUCCGGGGCGCGCAAGCGUCUCGGACCUGUCGCUUGAAGAUGAGCCCGCGUCCCAUCAGCUAGUUGGUGUGGUAAUGGCUCACCAAGGCUUACGGGUAGCUGGUCUUAGAGGAUGAUCAGCCACACUGGGACUGAGAUACUGCCCAGACUCCUACGGGAGGCUGCAGUCGAGGAUCAUUUGCAAUGCGCGAAAGCGUGACAAUGCGACGCUGCGUGGAGGAUGAAGGCCUUCGGGUUGUAAACUCCUGUCAUUUGGGAACAAUAUCAGGGGGAUGAAUAUUCCCUCUGGUUGAUGGUACCAAAAGAGGAAGUCACGGCUAACUCUGUGCCAGCAGCCGCGGUGAUACAGAGGUGGCAAGCGUUGUUCGGAUUUACUGGGCGUAAAGGAUGCGUAGGUGGUUUUGUAUGUCAGAUGUGAAAGCUCACUGCUCAACAGGGAAAGUGCAUUUGAAACUACAAGACUAGAGUACAGGAGAGGAGAGUGGAAUUCUUGGUGUAGCGGUGAAAUGCGUAGAUAUCAAGAAGAACACCGGUGGCGAAGGCGGCUCUCUAGACUGAUACUGACACUGAGGCAUGAAAGCUGGGGGAGCAAACAGGAUUAGAUACCCUGGUAGUCCCAGCCGUAAACGUUGUACACUUGGUGUGGGGGGGAUUGACCCCCUCCGUGCCGGAGCUUACGCGUUAAGUGUACCGCCUGGGGAGUACGGCCGCAAGGCUAAAACUCAAAGAAAUUGACGGGUCCCCGCACAAGCGGAGGAGCAUGCGGCUCAAUUCGAUGCAACGCGAAGAACCUUACCAGGGCUUGACAUGCAACUCCACGUCCCGUGAAAGUGGGACUCCUUCGAGGGUGUUGCACAGGUGCUGCAUGGCUGUCGUCAGUUCGUGCCGUGAGGUGUUUGGUUAAGUCCAUCAACGAACGCAACCCUUGUGUUUAGUUGCCACUGCCGGUGAUGAGCCGGUGAGCACUCUAAACAGACUGCCCGUGUUAAGCGGGAGGAAGGUGGGGAUGACGUCAAGUCCGUAUGGCCUUUAUGCCCUGGGCUGCACGCGUGCUACAAUGGCCGGUACAAAGGGAAGCAAUACCGCGAGGUGGAGCAAAUCCCCAAAAACCGGUCUCAGUCCGGAUUGGAGUCUGCAAUUCGACUCCAUGAAGCUGGAUUCGCUAGUAAUGGCACAUCAGCUACGGUGCCGUGAAUACGUUCCCGGGGAUUGUACACACCGCCCGUCACAUCAUGAAAGCUGUCUGCACCAGAAGUUAUUCAUCUAACCCGCAAGGGGGGAAAAUACCGAAGGUGUGGGGAGUAAUUGGGAUGAAGUCGUAACAAGGUA